GGAGGACGAGCAACAGGGAUUGCCCUAGUAACGGCGAGUGAAGCGGCAACAGCUCAAAUUUGAAAUCUGGCGUCUUUGGCGUCCGAGUUGUAAUUUGCAGAGGGCGCUUUGGCAUUGGCAGCGGUCCAAGUUCCUUGGAACAGGACGUCACAGAGGGUGAGAAUCCCGUACGUGGUCGCUAGCCUUUACCGUGUAAAGCCCCUUCGACGAGUCGAGUUGUUUGGGAAUGCAGCUCUAAAUGGGAGGUAAAUUUCUUCUAAAGCUAAAUACUGGCCAGAGACCGAUAGCGCACAAGUAGAGUGAUCGAAAGAUGAAAAGCACUUUGGAAAGAGAGUUAAAAAGCACGUGAAAUUGUUGAAAGGGAAGCGCUUGCAGCCAGACUUGCCUGUAGUUGCUCAUCCGGGUUUUUACCCGGUGCACUCUUCUACGGGCAGGCCAGCAUCAGUUUGGGCGGUUGGAUAAAGGUCUCUGUCAUGUACCUCCUCUCGGGGAGAACUUAUAGGGGAGACGACAUGCAACCAGCCCGGACUGAGGUCCGCGCAUCUGCUAGGAUGCUGGCGUAAUGGCUGUAAGCGGCCCGUCUUGAAACACGGACCAAGGAGUCUAACAUCUAUGCGAGUGUUUGGGUGUCAAGCCCGAGCGCGUAAUGAAAGUGAACGGAGGUGGGAACCUUUCGGGGUGCACCAUCGACCGAUCCUGAUGUCUUCGGAUGGAUUUGAGUAAGAGCAUAGCUGUUGGGACCCGAAAGAUGGUGAACUAUGCUUGGAAUAGGGUGGAAGCCAGAGGAAACUCUGGUGGAGGCUCGCAGCGGUUCUGACGUGCAAAUCGAUCGUCAAAUUUGGGCAUAGGGGCGAAAGACUAAUCGAACUAUCUAUACUGGUCUCAGAAAUUUUCCCCC
Molecule: ribosomal RNA, 898 nt
Filed under: Epicoccum sorghinum
Lineage: Eukaryota; Fungi; Ascomycota; Dothideomycetes; Pleosporales; Didymellaceae
Description: partial large subunit ribosomal RNA
Rfam family: Eukaryotic large subunit ribosomal RNA
Source: RNAcentral